GAGGAUAUAGCUCAAGUGGUAGAGUGCAUGCCUAGCAUGCACAAGGUUCCUGGGUUCAAUCCCCACUAUCUCCC
This 74-nucleotide transfer RNA is filed under the name Camelus bactrianus (Bactrian camel). It matches the Rfam family "tRNA". From Rfam's summary of the family: Transfer RNA (tRNA) molecules are approximately 80 nucleotides in length. Their secondary structure includes four short double-helical elements and three loops (D, anti-codon, and T loops). Further hydrogen bonds mediate the characteristic L-shaped molecular structure. tRNAs have two regions of fundamental functional importance: the anti-codon, which is responsible for specific mRNA codon recognition, and the 3' end, to which the tRNAs corresponding amino acid is attached (by aminoacyl-tRNA synthetases). tRNAs cope with the degeneracy of the genetic code in two manners: having more than one tRNA (with a specific anti-codon) for a particular amino acid; and 'wobble' base-pairing, i.e. permitting non-standard base-pairing at the 3rd anti-codon position. RNAcentral also lists the same sequence under 1 other name. The record is from Rfam by way of RNAcentral. Lineage: Eukaryota; Metazoa; Chordata; Mammalia; Artiodactyla; Camelidae.